This 443-nucleotide ribosomal RNA is filed under the name uncultured bacterium. Its description in RNAcentral is "partial 16S ribosomal RNA". It matches the Rfam family "Bacterial small subunit ribosomal RNA", at positions 338 to 795 of the family's 1533-position model. The record is from RNAcentral.
CCUACGGGUGGCAGCAGUGGGGAAUAUUGGGCAAUGGAGGCAACUCUGACCCAGCAACGCCGCGUGAAUGAUGAAGGUCUUCGGAUUGUAAAGUUCUGUGAUGGGGGAUGAACACAAUGACGGUACCCCAAUAGCAAGCCACAGCUAACUACGUGCCAGCAGCCGCGGUAAUACGUAGGUGGCAAGCGUUAUCCGGAAUGACUGGGCGUAAAGGGUGCGUAGGUGGUUUAGUAAGUUGGCGGUGUAAUUCCGGGGCUCAACCUCGGCGCUACCGCCAAAACUAUUAGACUAGAGUGCAGGAGGGGUAAGUGGAAUUCCUAGUGUAGCGGUGAAAUGCUUAGAGAUCAUACAGAACACCGAUUGCGAAGGCAGCUUACCAAGCUACUUCUGACGUUGAGGCACGAAAGCGUGGGGAGCAAACAGGAUUAGAUACCCGGGUAGUC